This 53-nucleotide non-coding RNA is filed under the name unclassified sequences. The record is from Rfam.
GGACCACUCCGCACAGGAGUCGAGGCCAUACGGACAGCCGGGUCCACUGCCGA